UGUUCGUCCGCGGGACUCGGAAUGGCACCAUACUUGGCGGGCGGCCUCUGUGUGCGAAAAAUAGGCCACGGGCACAGCCGCGCCCAAAAAUCAGCCCCCGAAGGUCGGGGUCCCAAGACCCCCCAGCGGAAAAAUGGCCAAAAAACGGGUGGGCUAUAGCCCUGGUGGGGGGCGUAGGCGAAGUUCUUCCGCGGGACUCGGAAUGGCACCAUACUUGGCGGGCGGCCUCUGUGUGCCAAAAAUACGCCACGGGCACAGCCGCGCCCAAAAAUCAGCACCCGAAGGUCGGUGUCCCAAGACCCCCCAGUGGAAAAAUGGCAAAAAAACGGGUGGGCUAUAGCCUUGGUGGGGGGCGUGGGCGAACUUCGUCCGCGGGACUCGGAAUGGGCCCUGACUUCGCGGGCGGCCUCCGUGUGCCAAAAAUAGGCCACGGGCACAGCCGCGCCCAAAAAUCAGCCCCCGAAGGUCGGGGUCCCAAGACCCCCCAGCGGAAAAAUGGCCAAAAAACGGGUGGGCUAUAGCCUUGGUGGGGGGCGUGGGCGAAGUUCGUCCGCGGGACUCGGAAUGGCACCAUACUUGGCGGGCGGCCUCCGUGUGCCAAAAAUAGGCCACGGGCACAGCCGCGCCCAAAAAUCAGCCCCCGAAGGUCGGGGUCCCAAGACCCCCCAGCGGAAAAAUGGCCAAAAAAUGGGUGGGCUAUAGCCUUGGUGGGGGGCGUGGGCGAAGUCCGUCCGCGGGACUCGGAAUGGCCCCAGACUUGGCGGGCGGCCUCCGUGUGCCAAAAAUAGGCCACGGGCACAGCCGCGCCCAAAAAUCAGCCCCCGAAGGUCGGGGUCCCAAGACCCCCCAGCGGAAAAAUGGCCAAAAAAUGGGUGGGCUAUAGCCUUGGUGGGGGGCGUGGGUGAAGUUCGUCCGCGGGACUCGGAAUGGCACCAUACUUGAUGGGCGGCCUCUGUGUGCCAAAAAUAGGCCACGUGCACAGCCGCGCCCAAAAUUCAGCCCCCGAAGGUUGGGGUCCCAAGACCCCACAGUGGAAAAAUGGCCAAAAAACAGGUGGGCUAUAGCCUUGGUGGGGGGCGUGGGCGAAGUUCGUCCGCGGGACUCGGAAUGGCCCCUGACUUGGCGGGCGGCUCCGUGUGCCAAAAAUAGGCCACGGGCACAGCUGCGCCCAAAAAUCAGCCCCCGAAGGUCGGGGUCCCAAGACCCCCCAGCGGAAAAAUGGCCAAAAAACGGGUGGGCUAUAGCCUUGGUGGGGGGCGUGGGCGAAGUUCGUCCGCGGGACUCGGAAUGGCACCAUACUUGGCGGGCGGCCUCUGUGUGCCAAAAAUAGGCCACGGGCACAGCCGCGCCCAAAAAUCAGCCCCCGAAGGUCGGGGUGCCAAGACCCCCCAGCGGAAAAAUGGCCAAAAAACGGGUGGGCUAUAGCCUUGGUGGGGGGUGUGGGCGAAGUUCGUCCGCAGGACUCGGAAUGGCACCAUACUUGGCGGGCGGCCUCUGUGUGCGAAAAAUAGGCCACGGGCACAGCCGCGCCCAAAAAUCAGCCCCCGAAGGUCGGGGUCCCAAGACCCCCCAGCGGAAAAAUGGCCAAAAAACGGAUGGGCUAUAGCAUUGGUGGGGGGCGUGGGCGAAGUUCGUCCGCGGGACUCGGAAUGGCCCCUGACUUGGCGGGCGGCUCCGUGUGCCAAAAAUAGGCCACGGGCACAGCUGCGCCCAAAAAUCAGCCCCCGAAGGUCGGGGUCCCAAGACCCCCCAGCGGAAAAAUGGCCAAAAAACGGGUGGGCUAUAGCCUUGGUGGGGGGCGUGGGCGAAGUUCGUCCGCGGGACUCCGAUUGGCACCAUACUUGGCGGGCGGCCUCCGUGUGCCAAAAAUAGGCACGGGCAAAGCCGCGCCCAAAAAUCAGCCCCCGAAGGUCGGGGUCCCAAGACCCCCCAGCGGAAAAAUGGCCAAAAAACGGGUGGGCUAUAGCCUUGGUGGGGGGCGUGGGCGAAGAUCGUCCGCGGGACUUCGAAUGGCACCAUACUUGGCGGGCGGCCUCUGUGUGCCAAAAAUAGGCCACGGGCACAGCCGCGCCCAAAAAUCAGCCCCUGAAGGUCGGGGUCCCAAGACCCCCCAGCGGAAAAAUGGCCAAAAAACGGGUGGGCUAUAGCCUUGGUGGGGGGCGUGGGCGAAGUUCGUCCGCGCGACUCGGAAUGGCCCCAGACUUGGCGGGCGGCCUCCGUCUGCCAAAAAUAGGCUACGGGCACAGCCGCGCCCAAAAAUCAGCCCCCGAAGGUCGGGGUCCCAAGACCCCCCAGCGGAAAAAUGGCCAAAAAACGGGUGGGCUAUAGCCUUGGUGGGGGGCGUGGGCGAAGUUCGUCCGCACUACUCGGAAUGGCCCCGGACUUGGCGGGCGGCCUCCGUGUGCCAAAAAUAGGCCACGGGCACAGCCGCGCCCAACAAUCAGCCCCCGAAGGUCGGGGUCCCAAGACCCCCCAGCGGAAAAAUGGCCAAAAAACGGGUGGGCUAUAGCCUUGGUGGGGGGCGUGGGCGAAGUUCGUCCGCGGGACUCGGAAUAGCACCAUACUUGGCGGGCGGCCUCCGUGUGCCAAAAAUAGGCCACGGGCACAGCCGCGCCCAAAAAUCAGCCCCCGAAGGUCGGGGUCCCAAGACCCCCCAGCGGAAAAAUGGCCAAAAAACGGGUGGGCUAUAGCCUUGGUGGGGGGCGUGGGCGAACUUCGUCCGCGGGACUCUGAAUGGCCCCUGACUUGGCGGGCGGCCUCCGUGUGCCAAAAAUAGGCCACGGGCACAGCCGCGCCCAAAAAUCAGCCCCCGAAGGUCGGGGUCCCAAGACCCCCCAGCGGAAAAAUGGCCAAAAAAUCGGUGGGCUAUAGCCUUGGUGGGGGGCGUGGGCGAAGUCCGUCCGCGGGACUCGGAAUGGCCCCAGACUUGGCGGGCGGCCUCUGUGUGGCAAAAAAAGGCCACGGGCACAGCUGCGUCCAAAAAUCAGCCCCCGAAGGUCGGGGUCCCAAGCCCCCCCUGCGGAAUAAUGGCCAAAAAACGGGUGGGCUAUAGCCUUGGUGGGGGGCGUGGGCGAAGUUCGUCCGCGGGACUCGGAAUGGCACCAUACUUGGCGGGCGGCCUCUGUGUGCGAAAAAUAGGCCACGGGCACAGCCGCGCCCAAAAAUCAGCCCCCGAAGGUCGGGGUCCCAAGACCCCCCAGCGGAAAAAAGGCCAAAAAAUGGGUGCGCUAUAGCCUUGGUGGGGGGCGUGGGCGAAGUUCGUCAGCGGGAAUCGGAAUGGCACCAUACUUGGCGGGCGGCCUCUGUGUGCCCAAAAUAGGCCACGGGCACAGCCGCGCCCAAAAAUCAGCCCCCGAAGGUCGGGGUCCCAAGACCCCCCAGUGGAAAAAUGGCCAAAAAACGGGUGGGCUAUAGCCUUGGUGGGGGGCGUGGGCGAACUUCGUCCGCGGGACUCGGAAUGGCCCCUGACUUGGCGGGCGGCCUCCGUGUGCCAAAAAUAGGCCACGGGCACAGCCGCGCCCAAAAAUCAGCCCCCGAAGGUCGGGGUCCCAAGACCCCCCAGCGGAAAAAUGGCCAAAAAACGGGUGGGCUAUAGCCUUGGUGGGGGGCGUGGGCGAAGUUCGUCCGCGGGACUCUGAAUGGCCCCUGACUUGGCGGGCGGCCUCCGUGUGCCAAAAAUCGGCCACGGGCACAGCCGCGCCCAAAAAUCAGCCCCCGAAGGUCGGGGUCCCAAGACCCCCCAGCGGAAAAAAGGCCAAAAAACGGGUGGGCUAUAGCCUUGGUGGGGGGCGUGGACGAAGUUCGUCCGCGGGACUCGGAAUGGCACCAUACUUGGCGGGCGGCCUCUGUGUGCCAAAAAUAGGCCACGGGCACAGCCGCGCCCAAAAAUCAGCCCCCGAAGAUCGGGGUCCCAAGACCCCCCAGUGGAAAAAUGGCCAAAAAACGGGUGGGCUAUAGCCUUGGUGGGGGGCGUGGGCGAAUUUCGUCCGCGGGACUCUGAAUGGCCCCUGACUUGGAGUGCGGCCUCCGUGUGCCAAAAAUAGGCCACGGGCACAGCCGCGCCCAAAAAUCAGCCCCCGAAGGUCGGGGUCCCAAGACCGCCCAGCGGAAAAAUGGCCAAAAAACGGGUGGGCUAUAGCCUUGGUGGGGGGCGUGGGCGAACUUCGUCCGCGGGACUCGAAAUGGUACCAUACUUGGCGGGCGGCCUCUGUGUGCCAAAAAUAGGCCACGGGCACAGCCGCGCCUAAAAAUCAGCCCCCGAAGGUCGGGGUCCCAAGACCCCCCAGUGGAAAAAUGGCCAAAAAACGGGUGGGCUAUAGCCUUGGUGGGGGGCGUGGGCGAACUUCGUCCGCGGGACUCUUAAUGGCCCCUGACUUGGCGGGCGGCCUCCGUGUGCCAAAAAUCGGCCACGGGCACAGCCGCGCCCAAAAAUCAGCCCCCGAAGGUCGGGGUCCCAAGACCCCCCAGCGGAAAAAAGGCCAAAAAACGGGUGGGCUAUAGCCUUGGUGGGGGGCGUGGACGAAGUUCGUCCGCGGGACUCGGAAUAGCACCAUACUUGGCGGGCGGCCUCUGUGUGCCAAAAAUAGGCCACGGGCACAGCCGCGCCCAAAAAUCAGCCCCCGAAGGUCGGGGUCCCAAGACCCCCCAGCGGAAAAAAGGCCAAAAAACGGGUGGGCUAUAGCCUUGGUGGGGGGCGUGGGCGAAGUUCGUCCGCGGGACUCGGAAUGGCACCAUACUUGGCGGGCGGCCUCUGUGUGCGAAAAAUAGGCCACGGGCACAGCCGCGCCCAAAAAUCAGCCCCCGAAGGUCGGGGUCCCAAGACCCCCCAGCGGAAAAAUGGCCAAAAAAAGGGUGGGCUAUAGCCUUGGUGGGGGGCGUGGGCGAACUUCGUCCGCGGGACUCUGAAUGGCCUCUGACUUGGCGGGCGGCCUCCGUGUGCCAAAAAUAGGCCACGGGCACAGCCGCGCCCAAAAAUCAGCCCCCGAAGGUCGGGGUCCCAAGACCCCCCAGCGGAAAAAUGGCCAAAAAACGGGUGGGCUAUAGCCUUGGUGGGGGGCGUGGGCGAAGUUCGUCCGCGCGACUCGGAAUGGCCCCAGACUUGGCAGGCGGCCUCCGUGUGCCAAAAAUAGGCCACGGGCACAGCCGCGCCCAAAAAUCAGCCCCCGAAGGUCGGGGUCCCAAGACCGCCCAGCGGAAAAAUGCCCAAAAAACGGGUGGGCUAUAGCCUUGGUGGGGGGCGUGGGCGAAGUUCGUCCGCGGGAAUCGGAAUGGCACCGUACUUGGCGGGCGGCCUCCGUGUGCCAAAAAUAGGCCACGGGCACAGCCGCGCAAAAAAAUCAGCCCCCGAAGGUCGGGGUCCCAAGACCCCCCAGCGGAAAAAUGGCCAAAAAAAGGGUGGGCUAUAGCCUUGGUGGGGGGCGUGGGCGAAGUUCGUCCGCGGGAGUCGGAAUGGCCUCAGACUUGGCGGGCGGCCUCCGUUUGCCAAAAAUAGGCCACGGGCACAGCCGCGCCCAAAAAUCAGCCCCCGAAGGUCGGGGUCACAAGACCCCCCAGCGGAAAAAUGGCC
RNAcentral lists this long non-coding RNA (5566 nucleotides) under Citrus x clementina. RNAcentral's name for it is "Citrus clementina (C. clementina) long non-coding RNA (CCLE_LNC000685)". Lineage: Eukaryota; Viridiplantae; Streptophyta; Magnoliopsida; Sapindales; Rutaceae. The record is from RNAcentral.